GUGGGGAAUCUUAGACAAUGGGGGAAACCCUGAUCUAGCCAUGCCGCGUGAUCGAUGAAGGCCUUAGGGUUGUAAAGAUCUUUCGCUGGGGAAGAUAAUGACUGUACCCAGUAAAGAAGCCCCGGCUAACUCCAUGCCAGCAGCCGCGGUAAUACGGAGGGGGCUAGCGUUAUUCGGAAUUACUGGGCGUAAAGCGCACGUAGGCGGACCAGAAAGUUGGGGGUGAAAUCCCGGGGCUCAACCUCGGAACUGCCUUCAAAACUCCUGGUCUUGAGUUCGAGAGAGGUGAGUGGAAUUCCGAGUGUAGAGGUGAAAUUCGUAGAUAUUCGGAGGAACACCAGUGGCGAAGGCGGCUCACUGGCUCGAUACUGACGCUGAGGUGCGAAAGCGUGGGGAGCAAACAGGAUUAGAAACCCCGGUAGUCC
Molecule: ribosomal RNA, 425 nt
Filed under: uncultured bacterium
Lineage: Bacteria
Description: partial 16S ribosomal RNA
Rfam family: Bacterial small subunit ribosomal RNA
Source: RNAcentral